UCUGUGUGUGUUGUGUUUGUGUGUGUCAAACUGUCCUAACAAAAACAGCCCCAAAACUGGAGAGACUCCAGAGUCUCUGGAAAAACUAUACAAGAGACUGAUUGACCCCUGUGUGGGUAACACAACCGUUGGACAUUCCCUUUGUUUAACAGGAGUGUUUGAAGGAGUGGCUCUUCCGUUACUCAGGAAACAAAAGAGCAAUUUUAGACUUACAGGAACUCAGAGUCUGAAGCGACUACUGCGGGAGCUGUAUGCCUGUUCGUCGUUUUCAUAGUGAACCUCUGGAAAACGCAGAGAUUCUCUAUGAAGACACAUAUCGAACUGGUAUAAGAUGUAACCUCAUUUUCUUCACCCACUCUGGAACACACUACAGGGCUGCAAUAGAAGAAGCUUACCCUCAAUCCAAGGCUAUUCGAAUGGAAAUAAACAAGAAAUUCAAACUUGAGCUCUUUGAUGGAGGCACUGUGUCUAUAUUUGACAGUGGAAUCAUUGUGAUUCAAGGUACAGAAGAAAACCUUGAUGCAUUUGAGAACAGGUUUGACACAAUUAAACAAAACGUAAACAGCAGAAGACAAGAACAGGUGCAGAAAACAUUACAGCAAAUGAAAGUUGAAGAAUCUGAUUCUGAAACAGAAGGACGAGACAAACAGAAACAGUCUAAAUGAAAUGUGAUACAACAAGAAAAAAACAGGAAACAGCAGAAACAAUAUGGACAUUUGAACUAUUAGUAAGUGAAUAUUAAAGUUUUUGCUCCUUGUGUUUAAAAAUUAUUAGAUAUUUAAGUCUGACUUGCAAUAUUUUUAUAAUCUUUAUUCUCUUUUAAAUUCUGCUGUUCAUUUGAUGUAUCAUUGUUUUUUAUAUCAUAUUUCAUAUUACAAAUAUGAAUCUCUUUCAGUCUGUAGGUUUGAAGAAUUAUAGUUUUGUACCCACUGAGGUCCGUCUCAUAUCUGAAGGUCACAGCAUCAGCGUUCAGGUACAUGUCCUACAGAUCAGUUAGGUUAAGAUAAAACAUGGGAUAUUAUUUUAUAUUAUAUUGAUUUUGCUUUGCCUUUGCUAAUUUAUAGAAAUAAAAUAUCAUGCAUACAAAAGUCUAACCUGUGGACAUUCCCUUUGUUUAAAACUUUUAAAUAAGUAUUACAUCUAUUAAUGGCUCUUACCAGUUCUUCUAGCUACUUACUGGUUGAGCCAAAUGGCACUGCUCAAACAUGAAUCUAAAGGCCUGUAUACAGUGGCUUGCAAAAGCAUUCGGCCCCCUUGAACCUUUCCACAUUUUGUCACAUUACAGCCACAAACAUGAAUCAAUUUUAUUGGAAUUCCACGUGAAAGACCA
Long non-coding RNA from Astatotilapia calliptera (eastern happy), 1330 nucleotides. The record is from Ensembl. NCBI's taxonomy places the organism in Eukaryota, Metazoa, Chordata, Actinopteri, Cichliformes, Cichlidae.